AUGUACCACGCGAACACUGCGGUUCUGCGCGUGCCGUCCGCGCCCACCUGACAGCGGCUCGCUACCUUGUGUUAGCC
This 77-nucleotide small RNA is filed under the name Xanthomonas oryzae pv. oryzicola. RNAcentral's name for it is "sX9 sRNA". It matches the Rfam family "Xanthomonas sRNA sX9". Lineage: Bacteria; Pseudomonadati; Pseudomonadota; Gammaproteobacteria; Lysobacterales; Lysobacteraceae. The record is from RNAcentral.